AUCUUGAAAUACUAUAUAGUAACAGCUUUUGUUUGUAUGAUCCAACACGUAAAUGAAAAACUCUAUCAUAUCUGUCGUGUCAACGAUUUCAACAGUGAAGCAUACAGAAUAAAGAAGAAUGGUGUUUGUUUAUAAGAUUACUGCUCUUAUAAUUGUAUUCUGCUUAUUUGACUGUGAGUAUACACAUACUUAAUUUAAUUCAGAUGUCGUCAUUUAAAAAAAAGAUAGACUUUCUAAUAAAGACAGCAGAAAUCAUUUUGUCAUGCGUUCAUCUCCACGUAUACUAGUCUUGUAUAACAUGCUGCUUCCUCAC
Molecule: long non-coding RNA, 313 nt
Filed under: Mytilus galloprovincialis (Mediterranean mussel)
Lineage: Eukaryota; Metazoa; Mollusca; Bivalvia; Mytilida; Mytilidae
Source: RNAcentral